GCUGAUGGUCAGAUGCUUCAUCCGGCUUUCAGGGCCUGAAGGUGGGGAAGACUUGGGACCAGUAUCCCGACAUGCUGAUCCCUGGACACUCUCUGCCCUGCCUUGUCGCUGCUUGCUCCUUCUGGCCCCCCUCCUCCCAGUCUCUUUCUUCAGCUGCAGAUGCAGAUGUCCUUCAUGCCUUUGCUUUGUUCAACUGUCACCUCCUUAAGGAAGCCCAUCUUAUUUAAACCAAUGCCUGCCAUCACUGCUCCCCAGCACCUUGGAGCCCCCUUAUCUGGCACUACUUUUUUUCCUAAAACGUCUAUCAUCUUCUAACACACCGUAUGAGUAUGUCUUGUGAUGAGAGGAUGACUAAAAAUACCUGGGAAGGCCCGGAGCAGGGCCCAGGGAUGCAGGAUUUUCUGAAGGAUCCCAUGGGAUUGGAAGAAAAUGCUGGGGCCGCCCAUACGCUGCUAAUGCCCUGGAGGCAGAACAGGGCAAAAGGAGAAUAGUGAUUUUGGGGAGAGGGAAAUAAGAAGUGAAGACCCCAGAUGAACUACAGCUAUGCAUAAGACUUAAAAUUAGAUUUUGG
RNAcentral lists this long non-coding RNA (571 nucleotides) under Homo sapiens (human). RNAcentral describes it as "non-protein coding lnc-NRIP2-9:1". Lineage: Eukaryota; Metazoa; Chordata; Mammalia; Primates; Hominidae. The record is from RNAcentral.